RNAcentral lists this ribosomal RNA (502 nucleotides) under uncultured Glomeromycotina. Its description in RNAcentral is "partial small subunit ribosomal RNA". It matches the Rfam family "Eukaryotic small subunit ribosomal RNA", at positions 591 to 1092 of the family's 1831-position model. The record is from RNAcentral. Lineage: Eukaryota; Fungi; Glomeromycota.
CCAAUAGCGUAUAUUAAAGUUGUUGCAGUUAAAAAGCUCGUAGUUGAACUUCGGGAUUCACCCAUUGGUCAGGCUUAAUUGUCUGUACUGGUGAGAUGAGUCUCUACCUUCUGAGGAACUUUCAUGCCAUUUAUUUGGUGUGGUUGGAAAUCAGGACUGUUACUUUGAAAAAAUUAGAGUGUUUAAAGCAGGCUAACGUCUGAAUACAUUAGCAUGGAAUAAUGAAAUAGGACGGAUUGAUUCUAUUUCGUUGGUUUCUAGGGUCACCGUAAUGAUUAAUAGGGAUAGUUGGGGGCAUUAGUAUUCAAUUGUCAGAGGUGAAAUUCUUGGAUUUAUUGAAGACUAACUACUGCGAAAGCAUUUGCCAAGGAUGUUUUCAUUAAUCAAGAACGAAAGUUAGGGGAUCGAAGACGAUCAGAUACCGUCGUAGUCUUAACCAUAAACUAUGCCGACUAGGGAUCGGACGCAGUUAAUUUUAUAAUGACGUGUUCGGCACCUUACG